AACCUUUAGCCAAACAAAUAUUAAAGGCGAUGCCUGCCCAGUGAACAAUUAAACGGCCGCGGUACCCUAACCGUGCAAAGGUAGCGUAAUCAUUUGUCUACUAAUUAUAGACCUGUAUGAAAGGCAAAAUGAGGGCCUAACUGUCUCUUAUAAUCAAUCAAUUAAACUGAUCUCCCAGUUAAAAAGCUGGGAUACAAACAUAAGACCAGAAGACCCUGUGAAGCUUAAACUUAACCAUUAAACCAAAUAAUGAUAACUUUCGGUUGGGGCGACCUUGGAAAAAAAAAGAACUUCCAACAUAGUGACCAUAACCCACCCACCCAGGCCUACAAGCCAACAAUGACCCAGCAUAGCUGAUAAAAGAACCAAGUUACUCCAGGGAUAACAGCGCAAUCUUCUUCAAGAGCCCAUAUCAAAAAGAAGGUUUACGACCUCGAUGUUGGAUCAGGACACCCCGAUGGUGCAGCCGCUAUCAAAGGUUCGUUUGUUCAACGACUAAUAGUCCU
RNAcentral lists this ribosomal RNA (506 nucleotides) under Dasypeltis scabra. RNAcentral describes it as "partial 16S ribosomal RNA". It matches the Rfam family "Bacterial large subunit ribosomal RNA", at positions 1816 to 2597 of the family's 2925-position model. Lineage: Eukaryota; Metazoa; Chordata; Lepidosauria; Squamata; Colubridae. The record is from RNAcentral.